AGGAAUCUGCCUUAGAGAGGGGGAUAACCCGAGGAAACUCGGGCUAAUACCGCAUAAAGUCGCAAGACCAAAUGCUGGGGUUAAACCUGGCGCUCUAAGAGGAGCCUGCGUCCGAUUAGCUAGUUGGUGGGGUAAAAGCCUACCAAGGCGAUGAUCGGUAGCUGGUCUGAGAGGAUGAUCAGCCACACUGGGACUGAGACACGGCCCAGACUCCUACGGGAGGCAGCAGUGGGGAAUAUUGGACAAUGGGGGCAACCCUGAUCCAGCAAUGCCGCGUGUGUGAAGAAGGCCUUCGGGUUGUAAAGCACUUUAGGCUGGGAAGAAGGUAAGUCGUUUAAGAGAUGACUUAUUUGACUGUACCGGCAGAAUAAGCACCGGCUAACUCUGUGCCAGCAGCCGCGGUAAUACAGAGGGUGCGAGCGUUAAUCGGAAUUACUGGGCGUAAAGGGCGCGUAGGUGGUUUGUUAAGAUUGUUGUGAAAUCCCUGGGCUUAACCUAGGAACUGCAACGAUGACUGAUAAGCUUGAGUAUUGUAGAGGGUAGUGGAAUUUCCGGU
Molecule: ribosomal RNA, 556 nt
Filed under: uncultured bacterium
Lineage: Bacteria
Description: bacterial SSU rRNA
Rfam family: Bacterial small subunit ribosomal RNA
Source: RNAcentral